ACGGAAGGCAGCAGUGGGGGAUAUUGGGCAAUGGCGCAAGCCUGACCCAGCAACGCCGCGUGAAGGAUGAAGGUCCUCGGAUUGUAAACUUCUUUGAUCAGGGACGAAUUUUGACGGUACCUGACGAACAAGUCACGGCUAACUACGUGCCAGCAGCCGCGGUAAUACGUAGGUGACAAGCGUUAUCCGGAUUUACUGGGUGUAAAGGGCGUGUAGGUGGUUUAGCAAGUCAGAAGUGAAAUUCCCGGGCUUAACUUGGGCGCUGCUUCUGAAACUGCUUUACUUGAGUACUGGAGAGGAUAGUGGAAUUCCUAGUGUAGCGGUAAAAUGCGCAGAUAUUAGGAGGAACACCGGUGGCGAAGGCGGCUAUCUGGACAGUAACUGACGCUGAGGCGCGAAAGCACGGGGAGCAAACAGGAUUAGAUACCCUGGUA
RNAcentral lists this ribosomal RNA (434 nucleotides) under uncultured Saccharofermentans sp. RNAcentral's name for it is "partial 16S ribosomal RNA". It matches the Rfam family "Bacterial small subunit ribosomal RNA", at positions 341 to 792 of the family's 1533-position model. The record is from RNAcentral. Lineage: Bacteria; Bacillati; Bacillota; Clostridia; Eubacteriales; Oscillospiraceae.